This 292-nucleotide ribosomal RNA is filed under the name uncultured bacterium. RNAcentral describes it as "partial 16S ribosomal RNA". RNAcentral also lists the same sequence under 2 other names. The record is from RNAcentral.
GGACUACUGGGGUAUCUAAUCCCGUUUGCUCCCCUGGCUUUCGCGCCUCAGCGUCAGAAGAGAUCCAGUCCGUCGCUUUCGCCACCGGCGUUCCUUCGGAUAUCAACGCAUUUCACCGCUCCACCCGAAGUUCCACAGACCCCUACCUCCCUCGAGACCACCAGUCUCCAAGGCACUUCCCCAGUUGAGCUGGGGGCUUUCACCCCGGACUUGAUGGCCCGCCUACGCGCCCUUUAAGCCCAGUGAUUCCGAACAACGUUCGCACGGUUCGUCUUACCGCGGCUGCUGGCAC